RNAcentral lists this ribosomal RNA (440 nucleotides) under uncultured bacterium. RNAcentral describes it as "partial 16S ribosomal RNA". It matches the Rfam family "Bacterial small subunit ribosomal RNA", at positions 338 to 795 of the family's 1533-position model. The record is from RNAcentral.
CCUACGGGCGGCAGCAGUAGGGAAUAUUGCUCAAUGGGGGAAACCCUGAAGCAGCAACGCCGCGUGGAGGAUGAAGGUUUUCGGAUUGUAAACUCCUUUUGUUAGAGAUGAUAAUGACGGUAUCUAACGAAUAAGCACCGGCUAACUCCGUGCCAGCAGCCGCGGUAAUACGGAGGGUGCAAGCGUUACUCGGAAUCACUGGGCGUAAAGAGCGCGUAGGCGGGAUAGCAAGUCAGAUGUGAAAUCCUAGGGCUUAACCAUAGAACUGCAUUUGAAACUGUUAUUCUAGAGUAUGGGAGAGGUAGGUGGAAUUCUUGGUGUAGGGGUAAAAUCCGUAGAGAUCAAGAGGAAUACUCAUUGCGAAGGCGACCUGCUAGAACAUAACUGACGCUGAUGCGCGAAAGCGUGGGGAGCAAACAGGAUUAGAUACCCGUGUAGUC